RNAcentral lists this transfer RNA (67 nucleotides) under Eucleoteuthis luminosa. Its description in RNAcentral is "tRNA-Leu". The record is from RNAcentral. Lineage: Eukaryota; Metazoa; Mollusca; Cephalopoda; Oegopsida; Ommastrephidae.
ACAAAGUUGGCAGAAAUAUGUGAAUAAUUUAGGUUUAUUUUAUAAGAUUGUUUAAUCUUACUUUGUA